CUGUUAACAUAGAGUCACAUAGAGGUGGUCCAUGUCUAACUGUUAACAUAGAGUCACAUAGAGGUGGUUCAUGUCUAACUGUUAACAUAGAGGUGGUUCAUGUCUAACUGUUAACAUAGAGUCACAUAGAGGUGGUUCAUGUCUAACUGUUAACAUAGAGUCACAUAGAGGUGGUUCAUGUCUAACUGUUAACAUAGAGGUGGUUCAUGUCUAACUGUUAACAUAGAGUCACAUAGAGGUGGUUCAUGUCUAACUGUUAACAUAGAGUCACAUAGAGGUGGUUCAUGUCUAACUGUUAACAUAGAGUCACAUAGAGGUGGUCCAUGUCUAACUGUUAACAUAGAGUCACAUAGAGGUGGUCCAUGUCUAACUGUUAACAUAGAGUCACAUAGAGGUGGUCCAUGUCUAACUGUUAACAUAGAGUCACAUAGAGGUGGUUCAUGUCUAACUGUUAACAUAGAGUCACAUAGAGGUGGUCCAUGUCUAACUGUUAACAUAGAGUCACAUAGAGGUGGUCCAUGUCUAACUGUUAACAUAGAGUCACAUAGAGGUGGUCCAUGUCUAACUGUUAACAUAG
This is a non-coding RNA of Oncorhynchus mykiss (rainbow trout), 577 nucleotides long. The record is from RefSeq and is a predicted model, not a curated record. NCBI's taxonomy places the organism in Eukaryota, Metazoa, Chordata, Actinopteri, Salmoniformes, Salmonidae.